GACCAACUAAGUUAGUUCUUGGUAUGAGCUUUCGUGUGCAAGCACACUUCUUCAGAUACACACUGUGUAUCUGAAGAAGUGUGCUUGCACACGAAAGCUCAUACCAAGAACUAACUUAGUUGG
Podarcis lilfordi (Lilford's wall lizard) is the source of this 123-nucleotide non-coding RNA. NCBI's taxonomy places the organism in Eukaryota, Metazoa, Chordata, Lepidosauria, Squamata, Lacertidae. The record is from the annotation of a GenBank genome assembly.